UGGGUGUUAUCGAAUAAUUUCAGUGACUAUGGGAGGGUUACUGUUUCGGGCUAUAACUUUAGGCAGACUCCUCUUGCCGAUGUCGAGAGGGCGUUGAGAGAACAUUUCACUUCAUGUGGAGAGAUCACGGAUGUAUGUGUUCACAUGAGAAUUGGUUAUAUAUAUUUUAUGGGAGAAGGCGCAGUCGAUAAGGCCAUGCAACUUAAUGGAAGUGAUGUGGGAGGAUGGAAUGUCUCUGUUGAGCCUUUUCCGUUUCCCGAACAUGCAAACGAUAGCGUUGUGGUAAGAGUUGAAGGAUAUGACACUUCCCUUAGUAAGAUUGAUAUCCAGAGCGCUUUGAGUAAUCUGUUCUCUUCAUAUGGAGAGAUCGAGUGCCUCAUUAUU
Non-coding RNA from Camelina sativa (false flax), 384 nucleotides. Lineage: Eukaryota; Viridiplantae; Streptophyta; Magnoliopsida; Brassicales; Brassicaceae. The record is from RefSeq and is a predicted model, not a curated record.